Molecule: long non-coding RNA, 14786 nt
Organism: Bombus huntii
Lineage: Eukaryota; Metazoa; Arthropoda; Insecta; Hymenoptera; Apidae
Exons: 7
Source: RefSeq, a predicted model, not a curated record
GAAGCAAUUUACCAUCUUCGUUUCUGUUCGUUCGAUUAAAAAGAAACAGUCGGUUAUUUCCAUAUCAUUGUACCGUACAGUUGUACUUGAAAGAAUCAAAGCACGGGGAACUUGAAAUAUUUCUACGCGCAAUCUUGAAAAACCAGGAUGAUAGACGCUAGAUAGAACGUUUUAAUUGAGAAGAUGAGAAUACGCCGAGAGCGAAGUUCAAAGACCCGAGAAAGCUGCGAGAAUAAUCCGGCGAGAGGUUACCCGACUAUCAGCAGAGUGCGAUCGAAGCGGCGUUGACGAAAAAGUAAAAUAAAGACGAAAGAACUGGGAAAUUAUAUCGCUGACGAUCCCUGAACACCGAUAAGGCGAGAGAAACGGGGGAGGCAGCAACGCGAUCCGCUCCUGAAUUUACGAGGCUCCGCGGGUGCCGAGGGUGCAGGGGCGUACAGACGUGGCGCCGGGCGUCCCGACGCCUAGACUGGCAGGGGCCGCACGCACGUUGACCGUGAAACGCGCGCGACAUCGUGUUAAACUCUGCUCCUCCACAGCUUUGCUUAUCGAUGUUUCCUUCUUUCUAUUUGACUAGUUCUCUGCACUUCUCUGGUUAGUAGCUUACAAGUUGCCAUUUACAAGAGGCGUUACGACGAAUAAUAUUCUAAUGGAUUUGUUUGUUUAUUGUAAAAGUCAUUGGUAAUAGAAGAUAUAGGAACGAUGCGCGAGAAAAAAGUUAAGUGGCAAGAAUUAUUUACUAAUAAGAUAAGAAGAACGAGACGAACAAGAUGAGAGAUCGCUGGAGUUUAAGUAAGCGAGCUACAGAAGAAAGACGAGUGGAAGUACGCGCGCUAUUGGCGUGUAGUAUCAUACGGUUGAAGCAGCUAAAAUAACCAUACAAUGUACGAUGAUGCUCAACUCGCAGUAGUUCCGGAUGACCUGAAUCUAAUGCUUGUCUGAUUUGAGGAAGAAAAGGAAUGGCCAGAUUAGAUAGAUCGGUUAGAUUCGUGGGAGAAAAAUUGACGUUACACGGUGUACUCGAAGGACAUUGGAAAGAUGAAAUAUGCGAAUCGCUGUCGUCGUUCCGCGACAGGAUGGACGUGUCCUCUCGUUGGAAAGCCAGGACCUUCGAGCGCGCAACGCACGUAUCACUCACACAACCGUGUGUCAGUGAAAAUCGCGUCUCGCAAUUUAACUCGAGAUCACGAAGUCUUGGCGUGUACGCCUGUAAAAAUAUUUCGCACUUUCUUUAGAAGCGAUUAGCGCGAAUUAACUUCAAAACUGAGAACACGAGUAAACUCGUCCAUUUAAAUUGACCAAUCCCACGAAUACAAUAAUAUCCUCGCUCGAACAUUUAUUAUAUUUCGUGUUUCUUCGUUUUUCUCAGAGCUAAAUUACAUCGCUAGACUGUGUUUAUGUAGAUAUUUAUGUGUUCAUGGCACGUAUAGAUAUUUCGGAAUAUACAGACAUUAAGAUGACGUACUUGUGACUCUUCGGAUUUCGAUCGUGUCUUGAACAUUAGAACUAACUAGUCAAAUCGACUGGUUUUACGAUUUUAUUUUCAAAUUCCUACUUCGUGUUAUAUUUUUUUCCGCAAUGAUAUAAUGACUUUUGCAACGAUAACUAGAAGAAUAAUAUAAUGCAUUUUAUUUUGUUUUUUAUACAGGGUGGUUGGUAACUGGUGGUACAAGCGGGCAGGGGGUGAUUCUACGCGAAAAAAGAAGUCGAAAAUAUAGAAUAACAAUUUUUCGUUCGAGGCUUUGUUUUCGAGAAAAUCGACUUUGAAUUUUCGCUCGGUACGCCUGCACUUUAUCGCGUCUCGUUACAACGUAUCUCACUGUAGAUCGUUGUCUCGAUGGAAAAAUUUAAAAAAAAAUUUGUAUUCUAUAUUUUCGACUUCUUUUUUCGCGUAGAAUUACCCCCUUUCCGCUUGUACCACCAGUUACCAACCACCCUGUAUAUUUUUUUUUUAUUAUUUAUUAAAAUUACAAUCAAUUCUCGCGUUGAGAAUUUUCAGUAAUUUUUCUGGCGUAGCGUAGAACGGUCAAAACGACUGGUUCUACAAUUUGCUAAAUGUGUCGUUUAGGGAUCGUGGUCCCAGAUGGAUUAAUAAUACCCAGGGCCGGCGUGACCAUUUGGGGAGCCGGGUUCAAAAAUUUUGCGGCUCCUAAAUACACAUUGAAAUCCUACAUUGAAAUUUUACAACGAGAAAUUAUUUAUUUACAUAUGCUGUUACAUAUUAUAUAUUUUUAUAAGCAGUUUUUUAAACAAAUCCAAGUAAUAUUUUUUCGCAUGCAUAAUUCGCUUUGAAGGGGAUAAAAAAUUCAAUGAAAGUAGAAAAUCUGUAAUCAUGUAUGAUUUUUGCAAAAAACUAUUAACGUAGUUUAAUCUCUCUAAAAAGUACAUUUCUCUGAAAACGGCUGGAUUUUUUUUUUUUUUAAUCUAAAGUAGUUUCCAGGAUAUGACGACUUUAUGGUGUUACACUGAACUUUCAUGAUUUUUCUCGCUCGUUUAAACCGAAUCAUCGCUACUAAAAAAAAUGUCUUGCAUCUGUUAAUGGUAUCAUCAUUCUGUAAAAAGUUAAUCAAAAUCGGUGUUUUUUAAUCGGGUAAUUUUCAUAGACCGCGGGGCCUCUCAAAACGCGUCGAACUUGCCUUACGCCGGCCCUGAUAAUACCAAAACUGUACUACGUAACAUGGAAUUCCUUUUGUAAGAAUAAAUAUAAAAAUAUUCUAUUAUUACGUAUUUUCUAAAGACCAGUCAUUUUCAUUGGUUUUGGUAGAAAUAGCUUCGUGUUAACUAUCGUUAGUUUCAGUGUUAAUAGCGUUUUGUUUCGACAAAUUCCGUGAACUGCAAGCUCCACGAAACGUUUAACGAAUAUCGAAAUUAAUAAUAAAUAUCGAGUUGAAAAAAAUCGAGUGUAAUGGUUCGUUUUUUAACCACCCGGUAGAUUACACGGCCGGUUUAACGCAGGAAAGCUACUUAUUCCCCGUCGGGCCGGAGCCUCGCCGGCAAUCAUACGGCAUUAACACUUUAACCUACUCGCUCUCAAAGCUCUUACCAUUUCAGCCGUGGCACUCUCUUUUGAACGGUCAAUAUGGUAGGCGUAUUUGAAUAUUCGUGUGUAUACAAGAGUCUUCAAAAUAAUUAUCGAUCACGAGCAAUAAAAAACGAAACAGAAUAAUAAAGAGUACAUAGUGGUAUUGUAAUAAGAAUAACGAAACGGUUUUGUCUUCAUUUUUAGAAUUAUUAUACUUAUUUAUAAUAAGUAUUAACUUAUUACAAAAUAAUUAGCCAUGUCACUGCGCCACGCCAGAAAAAAUUACUGAAAAUUCUCAAUGCGAGAAUUGAUUGUAAAUAUUAAUAAAAAAAAAAAAUUUUAGAAUUUACAUUCAACUAGAAUCAAACAUACGAUAAUCACUUGUUAUUCACGUUAUAGUACCACGCCAGAAUAAUUUACCUACAAUUUUCAAUGAGAAUUGAUUGUAAACUACUUCCAAAUAAAAAUUUUUUUUUUAGAAUAGCAUUUGGUAGGAAAACAUCGAUUGGAGAAGCGGUAUGUAUAUACGCAGUCGACAACAAACGAUCGAGAGUACGAAGAACAAAGGGUGCUAUGUAAAUUUGCGUAUAAUCAUUGAUAUUAGGUUGUCCGAAAAGUGUCUUUCUUUUACAAACCCGUUUUUUACAACGAUACAUUUUUAUACAAACAUGAAACCUAAUCCAUCGAACUUUGUGAUCUUUAUUUUGAUAGAACGAAAUGGAUCAUACGUAAUUCGAUAAAAUAAUAUAAAACGGAAAAUAUCGUGCGUCCAUUAUCUUCCCUAUAAAACGAAAGAAACUUUUCGGACCACCUAAUUUCGAAUUUCUUCCUCCGUAGAUAUUUCUACGACGUGAAUGAUAGCUAACACGAAGAUUAGAGAGAGAGCAAGAAUUAUCAAAAUCGCGUUUCUAUUUGCUAUUAAAUAUUAACAAACGCGUGUUUUCUCAUUCGCUCAAAGAUUUCCGAAAUAUCGUCCGCCGUGAUACGAAGAUAUUGAGAAUAUUGAAAUAUUGCCUGGCUCGAUAAUUACGCCAUCAAGUUCAUGGGGAAAAAAAAUCAAGAUUAAAUUUUGUUUUUAUGACACCGUAUAUAACUGCGAUUGCCGUGACGGCGAACCGCAAGAGAGCAACGCAGCUACCGUGGAAACUGAAAACCCGGCUUAAUGGACCUUCCUGAAGGGUACUUAACCCUCAUCAACGUUGGUCACCUGGUUAAAAGUUACGCAGAUGUGGCCUUAAUCCGGCUGAAUGCAAGAAAGCGUUGCAUUAACCACUAAAGCGAUCGGUCGUUGAGCGUUCCCCUUAAUGGAUCCUUCCAGGGAACCGUUUAGCGCCGAUUAGCCCAGAUCGUUCGCGUUCUUAUCAUUGUUUUCGGUCGUCACUCGUGUGAACGAACCUUCGAGAGCCUGCCUCUCGGUUCUUAAACUUCGUGCAUUUUUAUGUUUACGUCACCAUUAACAACACAAUAAUUCCUAGCAAGGAUUCAGUGAAAUACCUGGGCAUGACCCUGGACAGGAGGCUAACUUGGAAAAAUCACAUCAUAGACAAAACAAAGCAACUGAAGGACAAACUCAAGAAAUUCUAUUGGCUCACUGGCCGACGCUCCAAUCUAAGCACACAGAACAAAAUUAGCCUCUACAAGAUCGUAAUAAAACCUGUCUGGACCUACGGAAUCCAACUAUGGGGAACAGCAAGUAACUGCAACAUUGAAAUACUUCAACGCUUCCAAUCGAAAACGCUAAGAUCCCUGAUUGAUGUACCUUGGUAUGUAACCAAUGAAACAAUACACCGCGACCUCAAGAUACCCACAGUCAAAGAGGAAAUAGCAAAAUAUAGCGACAGAUAUAGCAAAAGAGUGAACAAACACCGAAACCCCCUAAUCGCUGGACUACUUGAUACGACGGACCAGAUUCGCAGGCUGAAGAGACACUACCCGCUAGACCUAAACGCUAGAUUCAAUUAGUUAUCUAAAUUAAGUAAUACUUACUUAUUUAUAAUACUUAUAUAUAAAUUAUACUUAUCUAUAAUAAGUAUUAACUUAUUAUAAAUAAUCAGCCAUGUCACUGCGCCACGCCAGGAAAAUUACUGAAAAUUCUCAACGCGAGAAUUGAUUGUAAUUUUAAUAAAUAAAUAAAUAAAAAAAAUUGUUUAUGUUUACGGACAAAAUGUAACAGCGCAGGAAGAUCGAGUGAUUCGAGGAAAAGAACGAAUAGGAAUAUUUUUUUUUAUUAUUAUUAUUUAAUUUGUACUUUGGAAUUUGUCCAGCUGGACAUUCGGUAAAUUACGAAUACGAAUGACGAUUAUUUAACCAUUUGUACUCCCAUGUGGAAUGUGAUUUUUAUCUCAGGAGCUCCCUUGUCGAGUCCCACUCGACAUUCUUUCAGUCGCACCUUUUUUUGUAGAACGUGCGAAAGAAAAGCAGGAUUGCAUCCUGGAAAUUGUUUCAAGAUGUAUCGUACGUUUAAAAAUUAGAAAAUUCAACAAUAGUGAGGAUAAAAUUGGUAUUUAAGUGAAUUUCUUUCUUCCUUUAUUUAUUUAGAUUGUCUUACUUUUUGGUUAAAGUAAAUUUCAAAUAAAACAUUUAAAAGUGUUGGGAGCUAACGAAAUUGAAAUAAAAUUCAGAGUGCGAAGGGUUAAGCGUUCGGAGAAAGGAAGAAGUUGGAAAGGAGAGCCGAUUAACAGAAGUCACGAAAUCGAGGACUGUUUUGUAAUCGCCGAGUUUUGCAGAAUUAAUUGGCAAUAAUAAGCUAAAUUUCGUAGGUGAAACGAAGAUAUUAAAUGUUAAAUAUCAAACGUUGAACAUUAAGUAUUAAAUGUUAAAUACUAGUCGCUCAUUAUCACAAACAUUCGAUCGAUAAAAAUCUACCACGUGUAUAUCGCGAAGCAAGAUAUUCGUACGCGUGAAAUUUCGAAAUUUCCAAAUAUUUUCGUGGAAAUAAAUAAAAAUGGUAAGUUUGUUCGAUCGAUAAAUGGAUAACGAUUACAUGGAAGUUACGAUCGUAUAGCAAAAUUCGUAGCCUUUCGCCAAGUCUACCUAAUCGUUACAACGUCGUUACGCUGUAGCUGUAGCAUCUCGUUUAAAAGGAUUUAUGGGCGAACAGGUAAAUGAUACUUAUUUCCUAACUAAUGACGAAACGAAUCUUUCGAAGCUGUUGAGUAAAGAUACAGGCGGACGGUAGAAUUAUGGAGCACGUUAAUUCCACGUAUUUAUCAUUUUCAUACCUACUAUUGUAUUUAUUAUUAAUUAUUACACUAUGCAGUCUGUUUAUAGCAAAUAUUAAUAAUUUCCCGGUCAGCGUAUAAAAUUGAUCGAUUCCAAUCUACUUUCGCACACGUGCGCAAGAAAGAUUUUCUAACUACAAAAAAACGGACACGCAACUCUCAAACAUUUUCGUCAAACUACCGUGUAAUUUUCUCUUAACGUAUCUAGUAAUACCCAAGACGUAAUAAAAGAAAAUCAAUAUUUUUUCGAAAGACUGCCAUAAUGUUUAACAAACAGAUAGUUUUGGUAAUAUGUGAUUCGUUGAUAACGUUUUGCAUUUCGAAAUUACCGCUAAAUGAAAAACAACAAAACGUGUCUUAUCGCGUCUCUGCCCUGUGGUCUUCGAUCGAUUUCAUCGUACAAUUUCAUCGUCGAUCGAACACAGCGCAAAUUGCGAAUCGCGCGCUGCACUCUGAAAAACGUUCGUCAGAAAUGGCACGUCAACGAAGUGGCGCUCUUAAUUAACGAAAGGAUCGUGCAUCCACGUGCACUCAAGCUCACUAACACGAGUUCAAACACGUUCUACGUACGUAUGUACGUGCGUAUGCCAGUGCAAUUAACAUAGUGCGGGGGCAGACUCCCCUGACAAAGGAUAAUCGCUUUCACCCUAUUCUCCCGUGGCGGCCUUACAACUUCUGAAUGUUAUUAAACGUAAUUUAAUAUCUGGCCGUGCCCAACGUGGAUCCCUCGCUGGAAUUUACAACCGAGGACAGGACGAUGUCCUAUUAAAUUGUGCGGCCUGUGGCAGUUAGCCGUGUGCCGUUUCGACAGCAGGCGAUUCCUAUGGCCUCGUCGCGCCACGUGGGCGGCAUCCGUUUCACUUUCUUCGAAGCAGGAAGAGCUUACAGAGCGUUGCGUAACUUCAAUCAACUUUUGUAUACGGUGUAUUCGUGAUUUUACGAAUAUACGCUUCUAUAUUUUUUUUUCCUUUUCCCUGUUACUUGGUUUUAUUGCGUAAGCGUUAUUCAUACAGGAUGAUUACGAGUGCUGACAGAUACCAUCGAGCCAAGUUACGCGGAAACCUAUCAACCCUGGACACGUGAAAGGAUUAGUCAGCGCAGUACGGAUUCCAUGAUUUUGUGAUCUUCGUUUGGCGAGAAAUGGAACAAUCCGUGGAACGAUGUUCACGUUAUGCGUUUGUCGAAACUACCACAGCAUAGUUUCAAUUUAGGCUUGUAAUUAUUUUGCAGGAAACUUCCGAACCACGUAUUAAUUAUGCUACUCACUGUGGCGUAAAGAUAAUGUAUAUAUUACAGUCCAUGGAUCCAAGUCCAAUUUCUAGGCUAAUAGGCUGAAACGGGUUGCUACUACUGCUCGUUAUUAAAUAAGCCAUUAAAAAGAACAUCGUAAAACAACAGGUUUGUUAGUUUCUUUUAAAAAAUCGCUCGUUCAAAAUUCGUAAGAUCGCUUUGCCAACAUACGCAAAAAGAAGAAUCUCUUUGAAAUGAGUUGAAACGAGCGAGUAAAAGGAGGCUGGCAACUUUCACGUGGUGUGACCUGGACAUUCAUUAAUCGAUAUACAAUUACCAAUUAUAUCCAAUUAAUAGCAAUUAAUUCAUCAAAUUGUUACCAACGUUCUCGUUGAUCUCUCAAAUUAUAAAUUGAGAUUUUUCGCUGGCGCGUGACAAAGUAAUUCUCCAACCGAAUAAUUCGAUUCUUCGAAGUAACUUCCAUUACGUUAGACAAUCUUCUUCUGUGAUAUCUCUGUACUUGAAAAAUAUAAAAAAUAAAAGAAUCAUUGAUGAAGUCAGUAUCGUAAUGUCAAGUAUGCGGGCGCUCCUUAUGCCGUAACAUUUCAGACGACGUAGCAAUUCGUAAAGGUUCCUACAAUUUCCUAACGAUUAUAGGGGUCUACCUGAUCUUCUGUAAACUGCUUCGAAGUUGAUCUUCCGUUUACACGAGCCUAAUACCUUGCAUCUUUCUUAACGAGAAAAACCACAAUCUCGAUAUAUCUUUGGCAGAAGGGCGGCGCCUGCUCUUCUUAGGCUCGCGAUAAAUAUCGUUGACCGGUUAGGGUAAAUAAUUGAUCGGGAUAAGGACGAGCAAUUAACGAGGCUAUCGGUGGAUUCGUGGAAAGAAAUGGAGGACAAUCACGCAACGGGCAACCGUGAGAUUUCUUAGUCACGAUAAAUCUCCCGUUUUCUCCCCUCUAUACCAUUCUUCUGCUCUCUUCUGGCAUCAGUUUCUCUUUCACGAGUACCGUUAGGGGCAUGUAAGUGCGGCUAAGUUUAUUAGAGCAAUUUCCAACACCGACGACAACAAUGGUCUCAACGACGAACGAUAAGGGGAGAGAAAUGCAUCGAGAAAGUUGCCUACUAUCCAAGAGGGUUUCCAUGACGACCGAUUAUCCGAGAGACCAUAAUUGCCGCGGUCCCUCGUUGCGGCUCUGGUAAUUAUUGCCUUUCGUUUUCACUUUGUAAUCGCGGCGUUCUUCUUUAAAACUUUGGAAUUCUUCCCGGUUCUUUUAUAUCGCCGCGAAAGUUUGAUUGGAUGGGUUAUUAACCUUGGUAUUCCCCUUGGGCAAUUUUUAAUACCGUCCUGUUGGUCCAACUUUUUCCUAGAACUUUGUUCUAGAGCGCACCGAUUUUACGACGCAGUUUUAUAAUAUUUCCCAUACGCGCGUAUUUUAUAAUAUCUUACGGCAUAACUUUCAGUUUCGUAACGAUCCGACGAGCCUUGAAAUUAGUAUUUGUGGAAUUAGUACUGGUGAAAAAUGAUCGUAAAAGUAGCACAACUCGAAUAAGUUUCUCGAUGUUUGCGAGCUUCUAAGCAAAUCACGUAGACGCGUAACGUUGACGAGAGCAAUAGAAUCUACGAAACAAUGGUUGCUGCGUGUCCCUUACUUUUCUCUUAUCUUUACCGUUUACCGAGUAAAAGCAGGUAACAGCGCGGUAUCCUUUGUUACUGGCAACGGAGACGAGAGGAAACAGGGAGAAAAAUUGGAGGAACGAGACUUUCUAUCGAGUCAACAGCUUAUCGUCUCUCCUGUUUCGUAUCAUUCGUACGCGCGAAAAACUCCGUUUACUCGGACGUAUUCCUUUAUCACGAUUUUUUGGUAAUUUUAACAAGGAACUCGUUGAAUACGUUUCUUUCUUCCGUCGAGAUUAAGCACUCGAUAUAAUUGAGUUUCAAGGUUGCGACGCUCUUCUCACGCUUGUUCAAGCAACGUGCAACAUCAACGAAACUCGUAGUUGCUUCUCAGCGGGCACCUAAUUUAACGCUUAACCCGAAGAAUAAGUGCGUAAACUGUCGCGAUAAAUCCUGCAAACAAUCGAACAACCUCGAAAACGCGCUCUUCAACGUUCAAACAUCCUGAACGUUGCCUAGUUCCCUGGAAGCACAACGAGCAACGUUUCAACAAAGAGUACAUAGGCGUAAGCCUGGCACCUCGUAAUUGGCGCUCAGUCGUACGAUCUACGAUCGCGAUGUUCGCACGCGAUAACGAUAAAUCUCGAGGAAAUAAGGUAGAAUUGGAGGCAGGGUUAACCGAGAGAGAGAGAGAGAGAGAGAGAGAGAGAGAGAGAGAGAAAGAAUGUCAUGGCACGCAUGAGUCUUAUGAAUUCUUUCACGAAACGAACAGGCCUGUCGCGCGCAGCCCGCAGGAGCGUAACAACGGUCUGCUCUUUCGUAAAUUAUUUUCUGUAGCUCUGUGGAUGUAGCGAAAAGAGAGAAAGAGACGGAGGUGGAGGACAGUUAAAAAGAAGGCGAAAAUCGGAGUACAAACAGAAUCGGAUGAGAGGUGGACUAAGGGAAUCGAGGGGCAAGGGUUUCCACGAGUGUUUAGCCUUGACAUUCGCCUCCCACAUCCUGUCAGCCGAACAGUGGUUCUCAUAUCAACUCGAUAAUCGCGCCCAAUUGCUUCUCCUGCGAGCAAAUUUUGUCGACGUUGGAAUUUUCUAGCGAAUUGCAAGAAUUAUCGUCUCGUGCUAUUGUUAUAUCGUUCUUCGAAAUGUCCCUGUCGUGUUCGAUGGCUUGGCAUGGCUUCCCUUUUCCAAUUCCUGUGUCGUUUUAUGGCAUGGAAUAAAGAGCACGUUAUUUUUUAUGGAAUCGAUUGUUCGAGAUAUGUAUUUUGGUAGAAGUGGUGUUUCCCUGGGUGGAGAGAACGUAGGUACGAAAUAAUUCAACCACGAAACUCCGUCGUCGCAUUGUAAAUUGUUAUGGCGAUGCUGUUUGGUUAGUUUACGAAGAAUCUGAACGUUUUGUUUGUUUUAAACGUGUAAAUGUACGUAAAUGAGAACUGAUGGCAAUAAAAUAGAAUAAAAAGCAGUUUUUCUGCUUGCAUCUAGUCGGCUCAUCUUCCUCGACAAUUUCUUCAUUUGCAUAUUUUUUCUUCUGCGUUUCAGCGUUUCACCUUGACUUCCACCGGACGUUUUCCUCUUUAAAACGCCAGCAAACAUUUAUUCUCGGACGGCAGUUCUUUUCUUUCCAAAAAUGUUAAUAGAAGGAAGAGGAAUUUGCAUUACAACGAUAACAUUUUAAGAGAACGUCCUGUUUAUGAAAUAGUAAACCGCGGAGGCAAGAAAAGAUCUUGGCUGGAACAAAGUUCAGUCUCGGACUUAGUAUCGAGUCUGAAAACAUUCGCGCGCAAACUAUCGGAUAACCUCAAACAUUUCGUUUUGAAAUAUCAACCCUGUCGAUUGGUAUCGUCGAUAGUCAACGUUAUUGCACUUCAUUUCCAAUUACUAUUUACAUAUAAUAUUAUUAUUAGAAAAUAUGAUACACGAUAUGUAACACGGAUUAAGACCAACAAAUCUUAGCUAGAAAUAACAUUUCCAAAACGAAUCAUUCGAUUCUCCGGUUCGUUGUCUCCACGUUUUUUCGAUCCUCUCGAUCUCUAUUUCGAAAAUACUGAAAAUUUGAUUGCCUUUGCAGGAUAAAUUCCACGUUUCUAAAACGCUGAAAACUCGCUCUUUCUCCUUACGUAAGCCGUUAAAACGUUAAAACCAAACCUUUCUCCUUACAUAAACCGUUAAACGUAAAAAUAAAGAAUCCUAACGCGAUAAAAACAACCUUACGAAUAUACGAGGCAAACAACCGGCAAGUAGCAAGAAAAACAAAAAAAAAAAAAAAAAAGAAAAAAAGAAGCUGGUUGAAUAAUUACGAGGAUAGAAACGAGCAAGAUCCUCUCGAGGAACGACAAAUAAAAAAUCUCGAUUUAGAAAACAUCCGGCAACGAGAGCGAAUUAAGAACGAAUCGCGCAACGAAACACGAUCGCGAUUUCGUGGAAGAACGGUACUUUUCAGCUUGAACGUGGCCGGUCCUUAAAAGAAAACGUGCCAAGGACAGCAGCGAUCAACGACGAUUCUCUCUCUCUCUCUCUCUCUCUCUCUCUCUCUCUCUCCUUCUCUUCUCGUCUCUCGGUGGUCGAGAUCGGUCGUUUAUUAAUUUACAUGCGGACUCGGCCGAAGGCGCCAGCCGGAUGGAGAACCGGAGGAGGAUCGACGACGAUGACGCGUUUAGUCGUUGCACUACCACGCUUCUGCUCUUCCGAGUUGCUCGCCUAUAAACGUAGCAACCAGGACGGUUUGUGGAACGACAUCGAACCGGUGUUCGGUUCGAGAUCGGGAACACCGUAACUGGAUACCGUUCAAAUAUUAUCGAAAACAUGGGAUCUCCGUUGGAACGUUGUUUAUCCAUUCGACAAGUACGUGAGUCACGUAUCUAUGCGACAAUCCGAAUGGCCUGGCAUACCAGCAGCUUAAAGCGGCGCAAAGUGGAACAGACAGGUGGAAAAACAUAGUUGGCCACGGUGAUGAGGAAAAGGGGCAGAGGGUGAAACUCGAGCACGAGCAGCACGACCCAGAAAAUGAGCGCAACAGGUGGUGGCAGGUAUGCGGCUGCCGGGGGAUGGCAAGUCGGUGACUCAUGGGGUUACACCGGGAACGUUGAUCGUUUCUUCUGGAUUCCUGCCCUCUUGAACCGCUCUUUCAGCUUUCUGCCCCGCCACGUCUUUACCUGCUGACUCACAAUCCGCUCGCACAACUCCUCCUACAUGCUUACACCUGAGGAAACACGGGACGAUUCUUUGUCCGGGACAGUCUGCUCAAUGGACACUGAUGAUCUCUUUGGAGUUUCGGUUUAUUCCUUCGACGUUUCGUAGCUGUAUUUUCUCCUUGGCAACAUAGCUCGAGGUUAUAAUUAUCUUUGGAUAUCGGGAAAUUACCCGCGACGCGAUAUAUCUUUGUUAUUCUGACGAAUUGGUCGAAGGGAAUUUAAACGUAGUGCCACGUAUUUAGGGGAAUUAGUUGUCGAAAUGAAGUUUAACGUUUCGGUCGAGCAUCGAGUUGCGCGAGAAAAGAUGUUAAUUAUUUUGGAAAAAUAUUUUGAAGUUUCAAAGUCUAUUGCGUGCAUCUCGUAGACUUUAAAGGCGGAUUUCUAGAUAACUGUAAUGUUUUUUGAAGAAUCACAAGAAUACUUGGGGACGUCAUUCUAAAGGUCGCUGGUUAUCGCCAAGAAGAGAAAGAAAAAAUAGAAUUCUUUUUAUCAAUCAAUAGCAAUUGUUCCCGGACCAAUGGUAUACCGAUCGAUCAUUAGUCCGCUACAAAAAAAGUAUCGUCUUCACGUGUACAAACAUCGCAAUCUUAUCUCUAAGUGAACGGUUCAGUGAUACUGUAAUUACAAUAACUGCAAUUAUCUGUUGGAUCUACGGUUCGAAUAACACGUUCGAUAAAAAUACACGAUACGCGGGAAUUCUGUUUUUCUCGAUCAUUUUCGGAAACAGAAAUAUCGGCGAAUUUCGAUUUCGGUGAAAAUAUUGUACGCGACGCGUACACGAAAAAGUUUUAUCGAUAGAGUUCGUAUUCGAUCGAUAUUAAUAAAAAUUUCAGACUCAGCCACCUGUUUUAUCGACCGAUGUGUUUAAUAUCUAGUAAUCGCACUGUGAAAUUAAAAUUGGAACACGAAACAACGAGGGCUUAUGCUGAUAAUUAAGUAACAGAAGCGUUAAAUGCCAUUACCACUGGCCUAAUAGCAUCGACCGGGAGGAAUGUUGGUCCUAUCGGUUUCUUAUGCUCUUCGUAUCAAUAACUUGGCCUGUACUGUUACACCAUUAAAUAACGAUAGCCCGUAAGGUUGAUAGUCGUAUCAGACGCGUCACUGGCGUACGGAGACAGACGAGAAUUAUCGUUCUCUCCGGAUAACAUUUCGCGAAACGAUCAAACAGGAAAUUCUGGAUCGAACGUUGUAAACUAAAGUUUAACUAUAUUUCGGUCGAUAAUAGAUUCGCUAUUAAACGUACGAUAAAUCAAACUCGGAUUUCAAUAGGAUUGUGGAUCGCCACGAACUAGGUCUACGCAAAGUUAGGGAUACUUAUGUUUACAAUGAAAGCAAACUAACCUCCGAAUAUGUAGAGUGUAGCCUGUACCUGGACGAAAUCAAGGCUAGACUUGGAUUAUGCUGGUUGAGGUCAGGGCUAAGCAUACUUAAACUAGGUCUUUCGUUGAAUCUUUCAAUAACGAAGCGCAACAGAAUCGAUUGUUUUCUCAAAAAACACUACCAUCCGUCUUAAUUUAAAUCUAACAAUUUCGUAAUCCAUAAAUCUUGCAAACGAUAAACCAUCUAUUUUUGAAAAUCUAGUUGGGUAACCAUAAAAUUACGAAAUUGAUUCUUCUUUUUUUUUUUUAUACCAUCCAAGACCAGGCACGGUGAAACGAGAGAAACGGUCGAUUUAAUUCGUUUCUCAGAAAAGAAAAUAAUAAAAAAAAGAAGAAAAAAAUAAAACAACAAAGCAACGGACGAAGCAAAACUAUUUAUUUUUACUCGUCGCUGAAUCCUCCAGUUUCUUGUUGUCACUCCGCUCCCACCUCCCUCGUAAACUUUUUCCUUUUCCCUUCUGCUGUUCCGCUUUUUCGUUUUCUCGCUGUUUGCUCCUUUUGUUCAGGCUCUUUUUCUCCGGCCAUAGCGAAAAGAAACGGAUCUGCGGAGCGUGGCGUUUGGUGGGCGGAUCGAUGACCUUGAAUCUGGCUGGAGGCACCAUGAGUCACACUGCGGAUUUCGUGUUUCCAGGAAAAUUUUCCUGCUAACGCGACAAUCGAUGCGAGGAGAGAGGAAGAGCGAGAGAAAGAGAUGAGCUUCCUCCGUGGGCGAGUGAAGCGACGAUUUUUUAUACAGGCGACUGAAACACGUGGAUCAGAGGAUUCGAACGAAGAGAUACUUCGGACCAUCGAUGAACUUUCCAACGUUUGCCAACGUUUCGUUCUUUUUCUCAUCUCACGAAUUGUCGCAUCGUGAAGCAAUAAAACAACAAUUUUUCGACAGAGAAGUUGGACGAAUCGCGAUGGCACGUAUGGUAUAUAACUGUAAAGAAUUUCACGAAUUUCACGUUGUGCCAUGUUCGUACACGUUCUCUGGUUACGUCGAUAAGUUAGAAAAAUGAAACAUUUCUGUAAAGCAGAGGAGUGCGUUGCAUCAAACGUCUCAGCCUGAUAUUCUUCCGUAUCAGCGUACUAUAUACCACGUCGUAUUCCUUAUUUUUAAUAUUCCCAUACUUCUUACUUUCCUUUU